Molecule: non-coding RNA, 462 nt
Organism: Melozone crissalis (California towhee)
Lineage: Eukaryota; Metazoa; Chordata; Aves; Passeriformes; Passerellidae
Source: the annotation of a RefSeq genome assembly
CGGGCGGCCGUGACCCUUCUGGAGUGCGGAGGGAACCUCCAGCCCCCUGGGGGCUCCCUGCGCCUCCUCUGCCGAGGGUCUGGGUUCAGUUUCGGGGAUUAUGGAAUGUACUGGAUCCGCCAGAUACCCGGGCAGGCUUUGCAAUACGUAGCAGGCAUCUACUUCAACAGUGCCAACACCUACUACGCGCCAUCGUUCAAGGGUCAGUUCACGAUCUCCAGGGACAACGGGCAGAGCUCGGUGACGCUGACCAUGAACAACCUCAAGGACGAGGAUUCCGCCAUUUAUUUCUGCGCUAAGUGUGCUGCUAAUAAUUACCCUGAACAUGCUGCUUGUAGUGACGAUGCCCAUGGUGUCCCCACCCCCAUCCCUGUGUCCCCCCCGUCGAGCAUGGGCAGUGUUGUGAAGCUCGGCCCGUUGUCCCUGGAGAUCCUGACCCUGCCCUUGACCGACGGGGCGUAG